CACAUCAGGAGAGGGUUAGGGCUGCCUGUGUCUCUCUGCGGCUCCUGCCUUCCCACACUGUUAGUGCCUGCUCUUCAGAGGCACACCUGUCAGAUCUUUUCCCUGAGGAUUAGCCUGAUACCCCCAACUCUGAUCUUCAGUACUGCAAGCAGAGACCUAAAAGAAACUUUUAAUAUAGAAAGGGAAAAUCUUAGGAAGGUGGAUUUCACUCCCCACUUGCAUGACUCAUUAAGCAAAAUCUGUCAAGGCAGGUCUGGGGACUUUGCAUUGACAUUUCUUCACCAGUAUUGGCUCCCCAAAGGUCAAAGAGUAGGUGCUUACCUGUGCAUAGCCAGAACAUUCCAAAGAGUGAACUCGCCCAGAAGUGAGAGUGGUAUGCCUCAAAGAAAAAUUCUUACUUCCUUAUUUAACUACAGGGAAAAAAAAAAUCACAGUAAGCUUAGAACAUACCCAUUUUGUUCCAGUUUCAGUAAAUCAAAUAUUCAAAUAUUCAGCCUUAGAGCAGUUUUUUCAAAACUUGGGGACUACCUGACUAAGUACAGAUAGCCAAUGGCAAAUAUUUGUCAUCUGUGUGUAUUAUUAAUAAUAAUUAAUAUUUAUUGAGUGAGUACUAUAUGCCAGUGACGGUGCUUAGCACUUUACAUGCAUUCUCUUCUUUAAUCCUCAGAAAAGUUUAUGGAAAGGCACAAUGACGCAUUCAGGGUGUGGUUUAGGGUGCGGCUGGCUUGGCACCCAAAUCCUACCAUUUAUUUUUCCUCUUCUCUGGAGUUCCCAGCCAAAAAGCAUAUUCACCAAAGAAUCAGCAGCCAUAUGGGAAAGAAGCAGAAGCAGAGGUAGAAAAGGGAAAUGGAAACCUUACCCAACAUCAAGAAGCUGUGAAAUGAUAGAGAUAUUCUUGUCCAAAAACCAAAGGGCAGAAGAUAGGAGACGUGACCAGGAAAAACUGUUACCAAGAAAUAUGUUCUCAGUGUCAGAACUCAAUGGGCAUGUAGAUUGGAUGGACCAAUGAUGGGCCAACAGGCAGACUGGUAAGUAAAUAGAUGGAUAAGAAGAGGCUAAAGGACUUUGAAAUGAAGAUUUUUAAUUUUGUAAGUAACUUUGGGUUAUGCUUUCUCUUGAUAAGCUUGGGCCAGUGUUUCACACAGCUUAUCUGUAGAAUUACUGUAAAGGAAUACACAUUUUAAAAUGUAGAUUCUGGGCCACACCUUCAGAUACUGAAUCAGCAUUUUCAGAGAGGAGACCAAGUAAUCUGCAUUUUCUAUACAUGCUUCAGGAGAACAUUCUAUAUACUAAAGUAUAAUAAGGACUUCUUUAGACAGUGUCCUGGCUAACUGUUAGAGGAACAAUCUAAAUUGAAGUGUUUCUCCAUGAGAGGGAUUUUGGUAUAUACUUGGGCAAGACAAUUUUUCAUUGUACAAUAUUGACCGAUACUUAAAUGUUUAGAAUCCCUGCCUCCAACUACUAAAUUCUACAGCAUGACCCCGUCAUUGUGACAACCAAAAUGCUCUCUGUUAUAUUUCUAAAUGGUGCCUCCAAGCUACAAAGCACUAGCUCAAACUCCCAAGUUCCCUGACAGAAUCAUGUGAAAGACUAUAAGUGUACAGAGAGUUGCCUAUGUAUGACAGCUGACUACAUCAGAGAUUGAGUUCAGACAAGUGAAAUCAUACUUCUUGAAGCUAUGAAUAUGUAUAAGUGAGGAGGUUUGAGGUAGAGUGCAAAGAAUCCUGAACCUGAAAUCAGUCUGCUUGAAUUUGAGGCCACUCGCUAGCUGUGCAAAUGAGAUAACAUUAAGUCACCAUUUCUUUUGCCUGGGUCUAUUUCCUUGUUUAUAAAAUGGAAAGAAAAAUAACUGGUUCAGUUAUCUUACAGGACUGUUGGGAGAUGAUGAAUACACUAUGUUUUAGAAGGUCUUCUGUAGCCCUGAUAGUGCAGCCAGCAAGUUUUCCCAAUGGUUGAAAUAUGGGUAACAAGUUGCUCAAAUAAAAAUAAACUACAGCUGCAACUUUAAAUGUUGUUUUUGACUCUAGCCCCUGCAACCUAAAGCCUCUUAGAAUUCCCCUACACAUAUUCAAGAGCAGAUGGUCAAUGGGAAAUUCCCAUAAGUUCCUCCAUAUAGCAUUUUUUACGCUUGACUUAGAGUUAUAUUCCGUUCUCUCACUUUCUUUUUUGCUAUCUUUUCCUGUGUCUUUUUCUUGCUUUUGUGUAUUAAAAUAUAUAUUGAGAAAUAGUAAUGUGUGCAUUUGUGCCAGAUAUCAUCUAUUUCCUCUUCCAUACUCACACACCACUGGCUUUUUGUCCCAGGAGCAUAACUCCAUGGACUGUGUCAACAUGCCUUCUACUUUCCAGUUGGGUUCAGUUAGUGGUCAGCCCCAGUGAGAG
RNAcentral lists this long non-coding RNA (2379 nucleotides) under Homo sapiens (human). RNAcentral describes it as "HSALNT0317030". Lineage: Eukaryota; Metazoa; Chordata; Mammalia; Primates; Hominidae. The record is from RNAcentral.